GGGGGUAUGGCGCAGCGGGAGCGCACCUGCAUGGCAUGCAGGGGGUCGGGGGUUCGAAUCCCCCUACCUCCACCA
Molecule: transfer RNA, 75 nt
Filed under: Synergistaceae bacterium
Lineage: Bacteria; Thermotogati; Synergistota; Synergistia; Synergistales; Synergistaceae
Description: tRNA-Ala
Rfam family: tRNA
About the family: Transfer RNA (tRNA) molecules are approximately 80 nucleotides in length. Their secondary structure includes four short double-helical elements and three loops (D, anti-codon, and T loops).
Source: RNAcentral